Molecule: ribosomal RNA, 673 nt
Filed under: Lactobacillus delbrueckii subsp. bulgaricus
Lineage: Bacteria; Bacillati; Bacillota; Bacilli; Lactobacillales; Lactobacillaceae
Description: bacterial SSU rRNA
Rfam family: Bacterial small subunit ribosomal RNA
Source: RNAcentral
GCAGUCGAGCGAGCUGAAUUCAAAGAUCCCUUCGGGGUGAUUUGUUGGACGCUAGCGGCGGAUGGGUGAGUAACACGUGGGCAAUCUGCCCUAAAGACUGGGAUACCACUUGGAAACAGGUGCUAAUACCGGAUAACAACAUGAAUCGCAUGAUUCAAGUUUGAAAGGCGGCGUAAGCUGUCACUUUAGGAUGAGCCCGCGGCGCAUUAGCUAGUUGGUGGGGUAAAGGCCUACCAAGGCAAUGAUGCGUAGCCGAGUUGAGAGACUGAUCGGCCACAUUGGGACUGAGACACGGCCCAAACUCCUACGGGAGGCAGCAGUAGGGAAUCUUCCACAAUGGACGCAAGUCUGAUGGAGCAACGCCGCGUGAGUGAAGAAGGUUUUCGGAUCGUAAAGCUCUGUUGUUGGUGAAGAAGGAUAGAGGCAGUAACUGGUCUUUAUUUGACGGUAAUCAACCAGAAAGUCACGGCUAACUACGUGCCAGCAGCCGCGGUAAUACGUAGGUGGCAAGCGUUGUCCGGAUUUAUUGGGCGUAAAGCGAGCGCAGGCGGAAUGAUAAGUCUGAUGUGAAAGCCCACGGCUCAACCGUGGAACUGCAUCGGAAACUGUCAUUCUUGAGUGCAGAAGAGGAGAGUGGAAUUCCAUGUGUAGCGGUGGAAUGCGUAGAUAUAUG